Molecule: ribosomal RNA, 497 nt
Filed under: uncultured bacterium
Lineage: Bacteria
Description: partial 16S ribosomal RNA
Rfam family: Bacterial small subunit ribosomal RNA
Source: RNAcentral
GAUGAACGCUGGCGGCGUGCCUAAUACAUGCAAGUCGAGCGAACGGACGAGAAGCUUGCUUCUCUGAUGUUAGCGGCGGACGGGUGAGUAACACGUGGAUAACCUACCUAUAAGACUGGUAUAACUUCGGGAAACCGGAGCUAAUCCCGGAUGAUAUUUUGAACCGCAUGGUUCAAUAGUGAAAGACGGUCUUGCUGUCACUAAUAGAUGGAUCCGCGCUGCAUUAGCUAGUUGGUAAGGUAACGGCUUAUCAAGGCAACGAUGCGUAGCCGACGGGAGAGGGUGAUCGGCGACCUGGGAAGUGAGCCGGCGUCCAGGCUCCUACGGGAGGGAGCAGACGGGAAUGUGCCGCAACGGGCGAGAGCCUUACAGAGCAAGGCCGCGUGAGAUGUGACGGUCUUCGGUUCGUAAAGCUCUGUUACUAGUGAAGAACAUAUGUGUAAGGAGCUGUACACAGCUUGACGGUACCUAGUCAGGAAGCCACGGCUAACUACGUG